Thalictrum thalictroides is the source of this 113-nucleotide non-coding RNA. NCBI's taxonomy places the organism in Eukaryota, Viridiplantae, Streptophyta, Magnoliopsida, Ranunculales, Ranunculaceae. The record is from the annotation of a GenBank genome assembly.
CACGAUAUUAAAUUAAUUUUUGAUAAGGGGAGGAUCCAUCACAAUAGCUUGCUAUUGGGGUCUUCACGAGUCGCCCAUGCUUUGCACUACUGCAAGGUCCUGGCUCACCCCAC